Molecule: long non-coding RNA, 793 nt
Organism: Bombyx mori (domestic silkworm)
Lineage: Eukaryota; Metazoa; Arthropoda; Insecta; Lepidoptera; Bombycidae
Exons: 3
Source: RefSeq, a predicted model, not a curated record
AGGCUACAUUUCCUUUGCUUGUCUCAUGUAUAAAUCCCGCUUAUGGUCGUUGAACUCGUUGGCGGGAAUGUAGAGAUGUGUCGCUUUAUCCUGUCAAUUUCGCGACACUUGAGAUAAACAUUGUUAAGAGUGGCAUAAUAAUUAUUGAGUUCAAUAAUUAAAAAAACGAUUCACUAGGAUAUGUACAUUAUAUGGCAGAAUAGUCGUGGAAUAAGUUUUAAAGUUGAAAAGAGAUUUUCAAAAGUGAAAUGCGUGGUUCAAAUGGCUAUGUAUAUGGAUCUUUUUAGUGGGUUGCGAUCCCGAUCCCGUAGUAGAUUCUGCAAAGCACUGCUUUUAAUAUGACUUGCGAGUUUUUAAACGUUCUCGAUAGAGUAACUCAAAUUUUUAUGGAGUUGUAUGGACCUGCGCCAUAUUGUGACAUUUGUGACGUCAUAGCUGUCAAAUCGAAAAAUAAAAGCCGGUUGUUGGAGGCCGUGGGCAUCACUGCGUGAACACCGGCGUCUACCUUGAGACGACGUAUAUUGGUAUGUCAAUAACAUCUGUCCUAACUCUUCUGUUGGACCAAUGAAUACUUCGCGGCAGAAUCACAGUGAAGAAACACAAGACGGCGGUAGCUGCCCAGGGCGACAACUAGUUCUAUCACCAAUAAACGGUACAUAUAAAUUUAUUCUCUGUAUUAUUUAUAUUCAUUUAUCAUUUAUUCGUUUCUUUCAUUCAUCUCUUUAUUCAUUUAUUAUUUACAUAUUUAUUUAUUCUUUUUACUUCAACACUAUAAAUCAACGGUCGGGAAACC